CCUACGGGACGCAGCAGUGGGGAAUAUUGCACAAUGGGGGAAACCCUGAUGCAGCAACGCCGCGUGAGUGAAGAAGGUUUUCGGAUUGUAAAGCUCUGUUAGCAGGGAAGAGGAAGGACGGUACCUGCAGAGGAAGCCACGGCUAACUACGUGCCAGCAGCCGCGGUAAUACGUAGGGUGCGAGCGUUAAUCGGAAUUACUGGGCGUAAAGGGUGCGCAGGCGGUUGAGUAAGACAGAUGUGAAAUCCCCGAGCUUAACUCGGGAAUGGCAUAUGUGACUGCUCGACUAGAGUGUGUCAGAGGGG
RNAcentral lists this ribosomal RNA (305 nucleotides) under uncultured bacterium. RNAcentral describes it as "bacterial SSU rRNA". It matches the Rfam family "Bacterial small subunit ribosomal RNA", at positions 338 to 659 of the family's 1533-position model. The record is from RNAcentral.